UGGGGAAUAUUGGACAAUGGGCGAAAGCCUGAUCCAGCCAUGCCGCGUGUGUGAAGAAGGUCUUCGGAUUGUAAAGCACUUUAAGUUGGGAGGAAGGGCAGUAAGCGAAUACCUUGCUGUUUUGACGUUACCGACAGAAGAAGCACCGGCUAACUCUGUGCCAGCAGCCGCGGUAAUACAGAGGGUGCAAGCGUUAAUGGGAAUUACUGGGCGUAAAGCGCGCGUAGGUGGUUCGUUAAGUUGAAUGUGAAAGCCCCGGGCUCAACCUGGGAACUGCAUCCAAAACUGGCGAGCUAGAGUAGGGCAGAGGGUGGUGGAAUUUCCUGUGUAGCGGUGAAAUGCGUAGAUAUAGGAAGGAACACCAGUGGCGAAGGCGACCACCUGGGCUCAUACUAACACUGAGGUGCGAAAGCGUGGGGAGCAAACAGG
Molecule: ribosomal RNA, 429 nt
Filed under: Pseudomonadota bacterium
Lineage: Bacteria; Pseudomonadati; Pseudomonadota
Description: Proteobacteria bacterium partial 16S ribosomal RNA
Rfam family: Bacterial small subunit ribosomal RNA
Source: RNAcentral